This 449-nucleotide ribosomal RNA is filed under the name uncultured bacterium. RNAcentral describes it as "partial 16S ribosomal RNA". It matches the Rfam family "Bacterial small subunit ribosomal RNA", at positions 354 to 796 of the family's 1533-position model. The record is from RNAcentral.
GUCGAGAAUCUUUCACAAUGGGGGCAACCCUGAUGGAGCGACGCCGCGUGGAGGAUAAGGUCUUCGGAUUGUAAACUCCUGUCAUGCGUGAACAAGGUUGCUUGGUUAAUACCUGGGCAAAUUGAUGGUAACGCAAGAGGAAGAGACGGCUAACUCUGUGCCAGCAGCCGCGGUAAUACAGAGGUCUCAAGCGUUGUUCGGAAUCACUGGGCGUAAAGGGUGCGUAGGUGGCGUGGUAAGUCAGAUGUGAAAGCGCGGGGCUCAACCUCGGAACUGCAUCCGAUACUGCCAUGCUAGAGUACUGGAGAGGUGACUAGAAUUCUCGGUGUAGCAGUGAAAUGCGUAGAUAUCGAGAGGAAUACCAAAGGCGUAGGCAGGUCACUGGACAGUUACUGACACUGAGGCACGAAGGCCAGGGGAGCGAACGGGAUUAGAUACCCUUGUAGUCC